AGAGUUUGAUCCUGGCUCAGGAUGAACGCUGGCGGCGUGCUUAACACAUGCAAGUCGAACGAUCCUUCGGGAUAGUGGCGGACGGGUGAGUAACGCGUGGGAAUCUGCCCUCAGGAGGGGGAUAACGGCUGGAAACGGCCGCUAAUACCCCAUAUGCCGAGAGGUGAAAUGAAUUUCGCCUGAGGAUGAGCCCGCGUCUGAUUAGCUAGUUGGUGGGGUAAAGGCCUACCAAGGCGACGAUCAGUAGCUGGUCUGAGAGGAUGAUCAGCCACACUGGGACUGAGACACGGCCCAGACUCCUACGGGAGGCAGCAGUGGGGAAUUUUCCGCAAUGGGCGAAAGCCUGACGGAGCAACGCCGCGUGAGGGAUGAAGGCCUCUGGGCUGCAAACCUCUUUUCUCAAGGAAGAAGAACUGACGGUACUUGAGGAAUAAGCCACGGCUAAUUCCGUGCCAGCAGCCGCGGUAAUACGGGAGUGGCAAGCGUUAUCCGGAAUUAUUGGGCGUAAAGCGUCCGCAGGCGGCCUUGUAAGUCUGUUGUUAAAGCGUGGAGCUCAACUCCAUUUAAGCAAUGGAAACUACAAGGCUGGAGUGUGGUAGGGGCAGAGGGAAUUCCCGGUGUAGCGGUGAAAUGCGUAGAUAUCGGGAAGAACACCAGUGGCGAAGGCGCUCUGCUGGGCCAUAACUGACGCUCAUGGACGAAAGCCAGGGGAGCGAAAGGGAUUAGAUACCCCUGUAGUCCUGGCCGUAAACGAUGAACACUAGGUGUCGGGGGAAUCGACCCCCUCGGUGUCGUAGCCAACGCGUUAAGUGUUCCGCCUGGGGAGUACGCACGCAAGUGUGAAACUCAAAGGAAUUGACGGGGGCCCGCACAAGCGGUGGAGUAUGUGGUUUAAUUCGAUGCAACGCGAAGAACCUUACCAGGGUUUGACAUCCUGCGAAUCCCUUGGAAACGAGGGAGUGCCUUCGGGAGCGCAGUGACAGGUGGUGCAUGGCUGUCGUCAGCUCGUGUCGUGAGAUGUUGGGUUAAGUCCCGCAACGAGCGCAACCCACGUCUUUAGUUGCCAGCAUUCAGUUGGGCACUCUAGAGAGACCGCCGGUGAUAAACCGGAGGAAGGUGUGGAUGACGUCAAGUCAUCAUGCCCCUUACAUCCUGGGCUACACACGUACUACAAUGCUACGGACAAAGGGCAGCAAGCUCGCGAGAGUUAGCAAAUCCCAUAAACCGUGGCUCAGUUCAGAUCGUAGGCUGCAACUCGCCUACGUGAAGGAGGAAUCGCUAGUAAUCGCAGGUCAGCAUACUGCGGUGAAUACGUUCCCGGGCCUUGUACACACCGCCCGUCACACCAUGGAAGUUGGCCAUGCCCGAAGUCGUUACUCCAACCCUUGUGGAGGAGGACGCCGAAGGUGGGGCUGAUGACUGGGGUGAAGUCGUAACAAGGUA
Molecule: ribosomal RNA, 1443 nt
Filed under: metagenome
Description: bacterial SSU rRNA
Rfam family: Bacterial small subunit ribosomal RNA
Source: RNAcentral